GACGAACGCUGGCGGCGUGCUUAACACAUGCAAGUCGAACGAAGAGCGACGGAAGCUUGCUUCUAUCAAUCUUAGUGGCGAACGGGUGAGUAACGCGUAAUCAACCUGCCCUUCAGAGGGGGACAACAGUUGGAAACGACUGCUAAUACCGCAUACGAUCUGACCUCGGCAUCGAGGAUAGAUGAAAGGUGGCCUCUACAUGUAAGCUAUCACUGAAGGAGGGGAUUGCGUCUGAUUAGCUAGUUGGAGGGGUAACGGCCCACCAAGGCGAUGAUCAGUAGCCGGUCUGAGAGGAUGAACGGCCACAUUGGGACUGAGACACGGCCCAGACUCCUACGGGAGGCAGCAGUGGGGAAUCUUCCGCAAUGGACGAAAGUCUGACGGAGCAACGCCGCGUGAGUGAUGACGGCCUUCGGGUUGUAAAGCUCUGUUAAUCGGGACGAAAGGCCUUCUUGCGAAUAGUUAGGAGGA
RNAcentral lists this ribosomal RNA (471 nucleotides) under Veillonella parvula. RNAcentral's name for it is "bacterial SSU rRNA". It matches the Rfam family "Bacterial small subunit ribosomal RNA", at positions 28 to 472 of the family's 1533-position model. The record is from RNAcentral. Lineage: Bacteria; Bacillati; Bacillota; Negativicutes; Veillonellales; Veillonellaceae.